Molecule: small RNA, 656 nt
Filed under: Pongo abelii (Sumatran orangutan)
Lineage: Eukaryota; Metazoa; Chordata; Mammalia; Primates; Hominidae
Description: retained intron
Source: RNAcentral
GCAAACAGAAUAAUAUGUACUAUCAGAAGUAGGAGACCUCAGAUGGUCAGAAGUGUUGAGGCACUUUGUGAUGCUUAUAUUAUAUUAGCAAACUUAGAUGCCACUCAGUGGAAGACUCAGAGAAAAGGCAUAAAUAUUCCAGCAGACCAGCCAAUUACUAAACUUAAGAAUUUAGAAGAUGUUGUUGUCCCUACUAUGGAAAUUAAGGUGGACCACACAGGAGAAUAUGGAAAUCUGGUGACUAUACAGUCAUUUAAAGCAGAAUUUCGCUUAGCAGGAGGUGUAAAUUUACCAAAAAUAAUAGAUUGUGUAGGUUCUGACGGCAAGGAGAGGAGACAGCUUGUUAAGGGCCGUGAUGACCUGAGACAAGAUGCUGUCAUGCAACAGGUCUUCCAGAUGUGUAAUACAUUACUGCAGAGAAACACGGAAACUAGGAAGAGGAAAUUAACUAUCUGUACUUAUAAGGUAACUAUUUGUACUUCUGUUAGUUCACCAAAAACAUAUAAAAGAUGCCAUUUGGCUGGGUGAAGUGGCUCGUGCCCCUAUUCGUAAUGCUUUGGGAGGCCAAGGUGGGAGGAUUGCUUGAGGCCAGGAGUUCGAGACCAGCCUCAGCAACAUAGUGAGACCCCAUCUUGACAAAAAGUAAAAAAAAAAAA